This is an RNA transcript of Cryptotermes secundus, 2132 nucleotides long. RefSeq lists it as uncharacterized. The record is from RefSeq and is a predicted model, not a curated record. Lineage: Eukaryota; Metazoa; Arthropoda; Insecta; Blattodea; Kalotermitidae. The transcript is spliced from 2 exons.
GGCCGCUACGAACGCCACGAACUUCUCGCAGCGGGGUUAGACAAAUUUAGGUAUGGGUUGGAACGAAAUGGAGAAAUUUAGGUUAUGAAAGGCCGGGUACCAUGUUCUUUUGUGUCAUUUAUUUUUCGUCCUGAACCUGUAAUGAAACAAAAUUAGAUAUUGACGGUAUCGAAAGUGUUGUAGAAUACAUUAUAUAGCUCAAUAAAUUGUUGUACAGUAUCAUCAUGGGGAAAACUGCAGUUCAGUCCAAAAUAUGUAUUAAAUUUAUCUCGGGAAAAUUGUCUGCUGUGCAGAGAGGAGAGAAAUCGCUUAAUUUAUCGGAUUUUUCACAAAUUUGAAGUGAACCGAAGUAAUUCAGGUGUUACGUUGGAUUAUUACCAAAGAAAAGUCAACAAGAUCGUGAUGUAUCGCAAAGGGCAUUUAAGAUUUGGUAUAUAAUAUUUGAGUACUUGCAAUUGUUUGUUUGUGUGUGAAAAAUGUUAUUGAGGAUAUAUAAAGGCAUUUCGCAUAUUGUAAGCUCUAUGUGUGCCACCGUUAACACAACCAUUUAAAUAACAGUCCGCUAGAAUUUAUAAAUCACAAUAAUUCCGAAAAUCUAUGAUAUACGUAUUCAUACAUAUUUGAUAUUCCGUGGAUUGUAGUUAGUGAAAAGGGGUCGUAGGAUGUGUAAAAGUCAAAAACGCAAUACAAAACACCAGAAGCCUUCGCAGAUAAGAUGAAUAUAUAUAACUUUCAUGUAACGCAUGUAAGGUAUUCAUAUGAAGUGUAACGCAAAUGGUCAAUUUCAUGCCCAAUUUGUCUUUUCAUUGUUACUACGGAAGUGCCCCUUUCGUUCCUGACACCAUGUGGUAGGGAUCUGAAGGUUAAUUUUUACAAUUCUUUCCUUCAUGGUUUACAUGGAUAAUACGUAUUUUACUUCAUAGCAUUCUCGUGAAUGGUCUUCUAUGACUAUACCAUUCAGCAGUUAAUUGUUAUCCAUUCUCUUCAGAUUGUGGCAGUUUGUUUUAUCUGGUAAGGGAAAGGUGGACUUGUCUCUGGAGACAAAGAAGGCCAAAUCCCAGCCGUCGUCAGGAAAGGUGAUGUUGAGCGUGCUCUGGGAUCAGCGGGAUGUCAUCAUGACCAACUACACGCAAAAGGACGUCACCAUCACUGAUGAGUACUACCUGAAACUUCUGAGAAAAUUACAGGAGGAAAUCAAGAAAAAGCGACGUGAAAUGCUGGGAAAUGGUGUGCGACUUCUUCAAAACAAUGCACCACUCAUGCUGCUCAUGCUACAAUGACACUUGCUGUCAGUUUGGUAUAUGAAAUUCUCCCCCAUCCACCAUAUUCACCAGAACUGGCACCAAGUGACUUCUUCCUCUUUCCACGGCUAAAGAAGCCACUUCAUGGUAAGUGAGUCCAAGAGGAUGAUGACAUCAUUUCUGCAGUGGAGGAAUUCCUAAACAGUCAAAAUGAGACCUUCUAUGAUCAAGGUAUCCAACAGCUAAUGCAUCGUUUAGGAAAACGUGUGGCCUUGCAGGGGGCAUGUGUAGAGAAGGGCUAACUCACAUACAAUUUCUUGCACCUGUGUCUCUGUUCUUCUGGGUGAUAAUUAAAAUUUUAUGAUUCCCCACAUAUUGAGUCAGCUCCAGCCAUCUUCCAUCACAAUUGAUAUCCAUAAAUUCAAUCUUUAGUGUAUUUUUUUUCCUCUUGACAAAAUAUUAACUUGUUAAAAACUGAUUUGCAGUUUUCCAAGUGAGUUACGUUCAUGUGUCUGCUGUAAGACUUGAUUUAUAGGCUCACAUGCUGUUGUCUUAAACUUCACAUACAUACACAGUAAGCUUUUAUGGAACAGUGGUAUCAUUUGUAUAAUGACUGAUGAAAAUACAACAAAAAGUCUCACAUGUAAAACAGACUUGUUAUUAUAUUCUAAAGGGUUCUGACGAUGGUGCAUAACUCAGAAUUACUGGGUUUUGAGGCUUUGUCCAUUGUCCAGUAUUGUAGAACAGAUCCAGUUUCCAAAAUGCUGUUCUCAUAUUUUUAGAUUACUGGAUGAUGUACAAAGUCCAAAAACUGAGUAAUUAAUUAUGAAUUAUUAAUUAAUUAAUUAAUGAUUAAUUAAUUAAUUUCUGGAUGAAAGCAUAAUUUCUUUG